RNAcentral lists this transfer RNA (75 nucleotides) under Candidatus Woesearchaeota archaeon. Its description in RNAcentral is "tRNA-Leu". It matches the Rfam family "tRNA". From Rfam's summary of the family: Transfer RNA (tRNA) molecules are approximately 80 nucleotides in length. Their secondary structure includes four short double-helical elements and three loops (D, anti-codon, and T loops). Further hydrogen bonds mediate the characteristic L-shaped molecular structure. tRNAs have two regions of fundamental functional importance: the anti-codon, which is responsible for specific mRNA codon recognition, and the 3' end, to which the tRNAs corresponding amino acid is attached (by aminoacyl-tRNA synthetases). tRNAs cope with the degeneracy of the genetic code in two manners: having more than one tRNA (with a specific anti-codon) for a particular amino acid; and 'wobble' base-pairing, i.e. permitting non-standard base-pairing at the 3rd anti-codon position. The record is from RNAcentral. Lineage: Archaea; Nanobdellati; Candidatus Woesearchaeota.
GAGUCUGUAGCUCAGCUUGGAUAGAGCGAUAGGAUUAAAAGCUAUAGGUCGAGGGUUCAAAUCCCUCCAGACUCG